This 948-nucleotide long non-coding RNA is filed under the name Nicotiana benthamiana. Its description in RNAcentral is "long non-coding RNA (NBEN_LNC018477)". The record is from RNAcentral. Lineage: Eukaryota; Viridiplantae; Streptophyta; Magnoliopsida; Solanales; Solanaceae.
CCUAGUUGGGUGAACCUCGAUAACAAAUUUCUGGCGUAUUUUUUCUUUUUAUUUUGUUUGCUUCAAUACUAUCGUUGUAGUGUGGGUAAUUUUUAUCAACAAUUACCACAUUUUUAAUAGUGCCAAUUUACUAGAUUUCUUAUUUGUUAUUUUCUUUCUCUUUAUCAUCAAUAUGAUUUCUUCCUAUUAUCAAUUUCUCUAUCUAUUAAUAGACCCAUCUUCUUCAAUUUCUCUAUCAAUUUCUCCAACGGACCUCAAAUUUUGACCUCUCUAACUCAAUCUUGAGGGGUUGUUGGUGAUAUUACAUGGUGGGCUGGUUGAAGAAGAAGGAGAUGGAGAGUUGUUUGGGGGUGGUUCACGUCGCUGGUUCGCUGGGUGGUCGAUGGGGUUUAGGGUGGUCGACCAGACUGGUCGACGUGUAAAAGGGAAAAGGGAAGUAGCAGAAAGAACGGAAGGGAUGAACAUGAACCAGAAUCUCAUAGAAGUCUUAAAGAAGCCAUUAUUUUUGGGAUUAAGUCUCAGUGCCUCACUACUCAAAACUCUCAGAUUUGUAUUCAUCAACCCGAAAAAAAGAUGCACUUAUGUAUCUAUUUGUAAAAAUGCAGGAGUUAAAUAGACCGAAUUAUUGAUAUGCAUGAAGCAAAUUCAAUAAGAAACCACCAAAAAUACAUGAGAACUAACAGAUUUUCACCGAAAGAAGAGGAAACAACAAUACCCAGCAAACUUUGAUUAGAAAUAAAGUUUAAUUAAGAAAGAAAAUUCCUAAAAAACAAAGAGCAAAAUCCAAUUUUAACCGCAAAAAAAGAGAAAAACCCACUAUGUAAAUCUAGAAAGAAUGUCUUUUGGAAACAUAAAUAGAGAAAAUUUAGAGUGAGAAAAAAGAAACAGAAGAAGAAAACAACAAUCUAUGGGAAUAUGAAGUACCUUAGAUGAAAUGAAUGCAGACCC